This is a long non-coding RNA of Passer domesticus (house sparrow), 473 nucleotides long. RefSeq lists it as uncharacterized. The transcript has 2 exons. Lineage: Eukaryota; Metazoa; Chordata; Aves; Passeriformes; Passeridae. The record is from RefSeq and is a predicted model, not a curated record.
AAAGCCAUGUUAAUUUUGACUCCCAUGCUUGUUUCAGUAGAACAUCAGUAUCUGAAUAAUUCCAAGCUCUACUGGAAAUGCAGGAAAAUCACAAGCCAUUCUGACAAGCAGAACAAAGAAGAGGCUUGGCCCUCCAGAGAGCUUCUGAAUAUGAAUGUUCCAAGGGACUCUGCACAAAUAUCUAGAACACCAGAAAGGAAAGAUCAUUUGGAAGAACAGAAUUUGAGUACAUGGUUCACACAGAAUCCUGUCCAGUAUCUCACCCUGCAGGACUGUGGAUAGAGACCGGAACCCACACCCAGCCACAAGAGGAACAAAAGAAAUGCAGGAGCUUUCUGAGGCAAAUGCUGGUGUGGAAAACCUGCAUAUUCCUUUUUCACUGCUACAUAUGUACAUAAAUAGUAUAUACAUGAUUCCAUGUACCUGCUGGAAUUAAAUUUAAAAAUGAAAUAAAAAUAUCCAAGUGCAAUGAA